GGAUCUUUAGCUCAGUUGGUUAGAGCGUUCGCUUCACACGCGAGAGGUCGCUGGUUCGAGUCCAGUAAGAUCCACCG
This 77-nucleotide transfer RNA is filed under the name Micrococcus luteus. Its description in RNAcentral is "tRNA-Val". It matches the Rfam family "tRNA". Rfam says of the family: Transfer RNA (tRNA) molecules are approximately 80 nucleotides in length. Their secondary structure includes four short double-helical elements and three loops (D, anti-codon, and T loops). Further hydrogen bonds mediate the characteristic L-shaped molecular structure. tRNAs have two regions of fundamental functional importance: the anti-codon, which is responsible for specific mRNA codon recognition, and the 3' end, to which the tRNAs corresponding amino acid is attached (by aminoacyl-tRNA synthetases). tRNAs cope with the degeneracy of the genetic code in two manners: having more than one tRNA (with a specific anti-codon) for a particular amino acid; and 'wobble' base-pairing, i.e. permitting non-standard base-pairing at the 3rd anti-codon position. The record is from RNAcentral. Lineage: Bacteria; Bacillati; Actinomycetota; Actinomycetes; Micrococcales; Micrococcaceae. RNAcentral also lists the same sequence under 19 other names.